Molecule: ribosomal RNA, 596 nt
Filed under: Photobacterium sp. Z1E
Lineage: Bacteria; Pseudomonadati; Pseudomonadota; Gammaproteobacteria; Vibrionales; Vibrionaceae
Description: 16S ribosomal RNA
Rfam family: Bacterial small subunit ribosomal RNA
Source: RNAcentral
ACGAUCCCUAGCUGGUCUGAGAGGAUGAUCAGCCACACUGGAACUGAGACACGGUCCAGACUCUACGGGAGGCAGCAGUGGGGAAUAUUGCACAAUGGGGGAAACCCUGAUGCAGCCAUGCCGCGUGUAUGAAGAAGGCUUCGGGUUGUAAAGUACUNUCAGUCGUGAGGAAGGUUGKGUAGUUAAUAGCUGCUUAAUUUGACGUUAGCGACAGAAGAAGCACCGGCUAACUCCGUGCCAGCAGCCGCGGUAAUACGGAGGGUGCGAGCGUUAAUCGGAAUUACUGGGCGUAAAGNGCAKGCAGGCGGUCUGUUAAGCAAGAUGUGAAAGCCCGGGGCUCAACCUCGGAACCGCAUUUUGAACUGGCAGACUAGAGUCUUGUAGAGGGGGGUAGAAUKUCAGGUGUAGCGGUGAAAUGCGUAGAGAUCUGAAGGAAUACCGGUGGCGNAGGCGGCWNNCUGGANAAANACUGANGNUNAGAUGCGAAAGCGUGGGGAGCAAACAGGAUUAGAUANCCUGGUAGUCCACGCNGUAAACGAUUCUACUUGGAGGUUGUGGCUUGGAGCCGUGGUUUUCGGAGUAACGCGUUAAGUAGA